RNAcentral lists this small RNA (76 nucleotides) under Parvimonas sp. oral taxon 393 str. F0440. Its description in RNAcentral is "dfrA-dnaX RNA". It matches the Rfam family "dfrA-dnaX RNA". Lineage: Bacteria; Bacillati; Bacillota; Tissierellia; Tissierellales; Peptoniphilaceae. The record is from Rfam by way of RNAcentral.
GCGCCUAAUGGCAAAGCUACUUAUAUUUCAUCAUAACUACCAUAGAAAAGUUAUCGUAAAGGAGUUAUGAUUUAAU